GACGAACGCUGGCGGCGUGCUUAACACAUGCAAGUCGAACGGAAAGGCCCUGCUUUUGUGGGGUGCUCGAGUGGCGAACGGGUGAGUAACACGUGAGUAACCUGCCCUUGACUUUGGGAUAACUUCAGGAAACUGGGGCUAAUACCGGAUAGGAGCUCCUGCUGCAUGGUGGGGGUUGGAAAGUUUCGGCGGUUGGGGAUGGACUCGCGGCUUAUCAGCUUGUUGGUGGGGUAGUGGCUUACCAAGGCUUUGACGGGUAGCCGGCCUGAGAGGGUGACCGGCCACAUUAGGACUGAGAGACGGCCCAGACUCCUACGGGAGGCAGCAGUGGGGAAUAUUGCACAAUGGGCGGAAGCCUGAUGCAGCAACGCCGCGUGCGGGAUGACGGCCUUCGGGGUGUAAACCGCUUUCGCCUGUGACGAAGCGUGAGUGACGGUAAUGGGUAAAGAAGCACCGGCUAACUACGUG
Molecule: ribosomal RNA, 468 nt
Filed under: uncultured bacterium
Lineage: Bacteria
Description: partial 16S ribosomal RNA
Rfam family: Bacterial small subunit ribosomal RNA
Source: RNAcentral